GACGAACGCUGGCGGCGUGCUUAACACAUGCAAGUCGAACGGGCCCGCUCUCUUUUUUGGGGGUGGGUUGAGUGGCGAACGGGUGAGUAUCACGUGAGUAACCUGCCCCCUGCUCCUGGAUAACUGCUUGAAAGGGCGGCUAAUACGGGGUGUGCCGGCUGGUCCGCAUGGGGCUGGUCGGGAUAGUUUCAUCUUCGGGUGUUUCGGUGGGGGAUGGGCUCGCGGCCUAUCAGCUUGUUGGUGGGGUGAUGGCCCACCAAGGCGGUGACGGGUAGCCGGCCUGAGAGGGUGGGCGGCCACACUGGGACUGAGACACGGCCCAGACUCCUGCGGGAGGCAGCAGUGGGGGGUAUUGCACAAUGGGCGGAAGCCUGAUGCAGCGACGUCGCGUGAGGGAUGGAGGCCUUCGGGUUGUGAACCUCUUUCUCCGGUGGUGAAGGCCCUGUCCGUUGCGGCGGGGUUGACGGUAGCCGGGUAUGAAGCGCCGGCUAACUACGUG
RNAcentral lists this ribosomal RNA (499 nucleotides) under uncultured bacterium. RNAcentral describes it as "partial 16S ribosomal RNA". It matches the Rfam family "Bacterial small subunit ribosomal RNA", at positions 28 to 507 of the family's 1533-position model. The record is from RNAcentral.